AGCAUGUGGUUUAAUUCGAUGCAACGCGAAGAACCUUACCUGGGCUUGACAUCCCGAGAAUCCCCUGGAACAGGGGAGUGCCUUUCGGGGAACUCGGAGACAGGUGCUGCAUGGCUGUCGUCAGCUCGUGUCGUGAGAUGUUGGGUUAAGUCCCGCAACGAGCGCAACCCUUGUCUUUAAUUGCCAGCAUUCAGUUGGGCACUUUAAAGAGACUGCCGGUGUUAAGCCGGAGGAAGGUGGGGAUGACGUCAAGUCCUCAUGGCCUUUAUGCCCAGGGCUACACACGUGCUACAAUGGGUGGUACAAAGAGAUGCCAACUCGCGAGAGCGCGCCAAUCUCAGAAAGCCAUCCUCAGUUCGGAUUGGAGUCUGCAACUCGACUCCAUGAAGUUGGAAUCGCUAGUAAUCGCGGAUCAGCACGCCGCGGUGAAUACGUUCCCGGGCCUU
This 446-nucleotide ribosomal RNA is filed under the name uncultured Syntrophus sp. RNAcentral describes it as "bacterial SSU rRNA". It matches the Rfam family "Bacterial small subunit ribosomal RNA", at positions 936 to 1382 of the family's 1533-position model. Lineage: Bacteria; Pseudomonadati; Thermodesulfobacteriota; Syntrophia; Syntrophales; Syntrophaceae. The record is from RNAcentral.